UUUACUUCAAAUCAUCAUGGCAUCAAAACUGCUAAGGAAAGGAGCUGGAAUUUUCAAAGACCCAGUUAAUAAUAGUAUAAGUGUCCAAAGUACUGCUGAACUUUAUGAGGAAAGGAAACCAAAAUGAUCGACUAUCCGCCUGGAAACCACCUCUUGGUUUGGACAUCGAGGCAUCGACAUUUGGACUAGCAGUUUACAUUGGAAAAAAGCUACGAAAUAUAAUAUGACCUCCACCAGAAGAUUUCGUCGUAUCUAUUUUAAUUGUAGGUGCAAAACAAAAUGUUGACGAUUUACUGGCUAUAGAACUGACCGUUGAAUCACAACACACCAGUGGCAAUAUUGCCGCCACCUUCAAAAUCGGACUUGGGAACUCAGCUCCACUUUACGAAGACGAUCGAGCUUGGAGAAGGUACGACGGCUACGAAAAGUGAAAAUUGUUGAUCCAAACUUGGAUGAGAUUUUCAUGUUCGGGAGGGAAUCGUGGUUUGAAAAGGUGUGACUGAGAAUAAAACUUCCAAGUGCGUUAAGGAAAUUUGGCUGAAAGAAACGAUGCUGCUACUGAAUGUUUCGAAACUCUACGAGACGAAGUUGUUUCCGGCUAGACGGUGCCCCGAUUGCUGAUGGCUGCAUUGUGCGCAUAACAGGCAACUACAUUUUCCGGGAGCUUGUUUGCGUCCCCAUCUCGGUGUUGAAGAACUCGAUGAUAGCGGAAAUGACAUCAAUUUCGACCUGGCUAUCAAAACACAGAACAUUGAUAAGGAUGACUUAAGGAAUUUCUUGAACACAGGUUCCUGGUGUACAGGCUUAUCCGGUCUUCCGUAGUGGCGCCGUCGGGUCACUUGACUGCACCCAGCCGGAACAACUACGCGCUGUCGCAUUUGGCUCGCUCACCCAUUCGCGCUGAUCGACUGGCUCGCGUACACAAUUGUGACAAAAAUCAAGUCUGUGACAGUGUAUGUUGUGUUUAUGUUAAAUCGGUUGAGUUUAGCAUGUAUUUUGCUUCCGUUGACAUGUAUAAUAAAACUUUUUAAAUCAACAAUUAUGAGUUUUUUCCAUUCAAAGCAAAACAUAUAAUGCCUACAUACAUUUAUCAAAUGGUGAUGUACAUGUAAAACUACUAUAAACAAUAAUAUUGGACCCGAAAGGAAAUUUACAUGAAAUAGCA
Uranotaenia lowii is the source of this 1165-nucleotide long non-coding RNA. RefSeq lists it as uncharacterized. Lineage: Eukaryota; Metazoa; Arthropoda; Insecta; Diptera; Culicidae. The transcript is spliced from 3 exons. The record is from RefSeq and is a predicted model, not a curated record.